CUCGAUUUAGUUCCACUUUGGAAUGAGGAAAAUAUGAAAAGAAAAAGAGAAGUAAAUUUCUUAGAAUUUCCCCACUCAUGUUUCAGUGCUGAUACAGAAUUCCAGAAUGACUGAGUAUCCUAAGCCCAUGUCAGUUAUCUCUCAAGGUUGAAAGGAGAAACCCGGCGAAAGGAUAGGGCAGUAAAAGAGAACUGAGGUGGCUGUUUGAAAGGGGCCAUGUCUCCUCGGAGACACGUGUCUCUCUAGGAGGAUCACUAUACCGCAUUGUUUCUCCAUGGCUCUCAUGUACUCUUUUGAGACCUUAGUGUGCUGUUUCUAGAUCAACAAUUUAUGAUAUUUAUUGAGCACCUGCAAUGUGUCCAGCUUUGUGCUUGGUGAUGUGAAGGCAAGAGAUGUAAGGACCUGGUUUCUAAUCUUCAAAAAAGUCUACACUGUGGUUGAAGUGAAACACAAAGAGAGUUUUUGCCUCCGAAAUGACAAGCAGAGAACCACAAGGCAAUGUUGAGAUGCAGAGGGUGGCAGUUUCCCUCCUAGCAGAGUGACUCACUCAUGCCUCCACUCCAGGGUGCAGGGCUUAGAUUCAUGACAGAUGACAGCCCCUAAACCUCAGAAAUGUGUGGGGAGAAUUUGAAUGAAAGAUGACUCUACUCAGGCUAUAGUCUGAGGAACAGAAUUUAACAGGAGACAAUGGAAUUCUUACUUUGAUCCUCACUUAUGUGGAAACAUGAGGAUUUUGGAGAGUUUCUUCAUAUAAAGAACGCCCACAGAUUUCUCUGGGAGAUACAAGUGAAAUCACAAUGACAUCAAUAAUCCUGAAUUUCUUCUUCACACUCACUCAUGAAAAGUCUCCGAUUUUCCCACCUUGCUCAGCCACCUUAAGUGCCUUCCUUCAAGAUAUUUCCUACUGCUUCUAAAGAGGAUCUCCCAUUGGCUUGGGAGCAGCGUGUGAGUCACACUCCUUCCCUUCAGUCCAAGCCGUGGACUCCCUCUCUUUCUCGCUACACCUUAGCCCGCUGUCCUACCAUUGACUCCACAGUGCUGUGGGAGAAUGCCCAUGUUCAUUGCACAGUCUAGCCUUCCUGUCUUCAAUGUUGCUGGCAACUUUGGAGGUGUCAGGGGGAGCUAAUUUCCACAUAACAAUGGGGAAACUGUCUUUUGUCUCAACUCAAAGUCUCCAGGCCUAAAAGUAGCACUGUUUUUGUCCAGAGUCUCACAAAGUUUCUAAAAAAUUCAACUUCUCUAAUUGCUAUUCAAACCUAACUUUUUAGUGAACUCGAGACUAGCUUAAGAUGUGGAAUAGGGAACAGAUAACAGUCUCUGCUUCAUACAAAAUGUCUCUUUAUACUUUCUCAGGGAUGCGGGCAUUAGGCAUUAAAAAAUCCAAAUAAAUGUGCAACCACCCCCGACUUUCAUCCUCCUCUUUAGCCCCUAAAACAAAACAUUCCUUCCAUGCUUACCAACUCAAGGCAAAUGAAUGCUGGAAAUGAUAGUUGUUAUCAUUAUUAAUAUUGUUGAGUACUACUUAAUAAUAGUUAUCCCAGCCUACCAGUUAUGAAUGUUGACUGGCAAUUUGCGGGCUUAAAUGGAACUCUCAGCUUAUCCUUAACAGUCAUGAAAACUGAGACAGAAUGAUUUUUUCUGUGG
This 1644-nucleotide long non-coding RNA is filed under the name Homo sapiens (human). RNAcentral describes it as "HSALNT0089687". The record is from RNAcentral. Lineage: Eukaryota; Metazoa; Chordata; Mammalia; Primates; Hominidae.